Molecule: ribosomal RNA, 253 nt
Filed under: uncultured bacterium
Lineage: Bacteria
Description: partial 16S ribosomal RNA
Rfam family: Bacterial small subunit ribosomal RNA
Source: RNAcentral
UACGGAGGGUGCAAGCGUUAUCCGGAUUUACUGGGUUUAAAGGGUGUGUAGGCGGGCUUUUAGGUCAGUGGUGAAAUCUCCGGGCUCAACCCGGAAACUGCCAUUGAUACUAUUAGUCUUGAAUUCUGUUGAGGUAGGCGGAAUAAGUCAUGUAGCGGUGAAAUGCUUAGAUAUGACUUAGAACACCAAUUGCGAAGGCAGCUUGCUAAACAGAUAUUGACGCUGAGGCACGAAAGCGUGGGGAUCAAACAGG